RNAcentral lists this ribosomal RNA (497 nucleotides) under uncultured bacterium. Its description in RNAcentral is "partial 16S ribosomal RNA". It matches the Rfam family "Bacterial small subunit ribosomal RNA", at positions 28 to 507 of the family's 1533-position model. The record is from RNAcentral.
GAUGAACGCUGGCGGCGUGCCUAAUACAUGCAAGUCGAGCGAACGGACGAGAAGCUUGCUUCUCUGAUGUUAGCGGCGGACGGGUGAGUAACACGUGGAUAACCUACCUAUAAGACUGGGAUAACUUCGGGAAACCGGAGCUAAUACCGGAUAAUAUUUUGAACCGCAUGGUUCAAAAGUGAAAGACGGUCUUGCUGUCACUUAUAGAUGGAUCUGCGCUGCAUUAGCUAGUUGGUAAGGUAACGGCUUACCAAGGCAAGGAUGCAUAGCCGACCUGAGAGGGUGAUCGGCCACACUAGAACUGGGACACGGUCCAGACUCCUACGAGAGGCAGCAGUAGGGAAUCUUCCGCAAUGGGCGAAAGCCUUACGGAGCAACGCCGCGUGAGUGAUGAAGGUCUUCGGAUCGUAAAACUCUGUUAUUAGUUAAGAACAGAUGUGUAAGUAACUGUGCACAUCUUGACGGUACCUAAUCAGAAAGCCACGGCUAACUACGUG